RNAcentral lists this small RNA (38 nucleotides) under Romboutsia ilealis. RNAcentral's name for it is "CRISPR spacer". Lineage: Bacteria; Bacillati; Bacillota; Clostridia; Peptostreptococcales; Peptostreptococcaceae. The record is from RNAcentral.
CAUUUCAUAUCUUUCCCAAAAUGUUAAAGACUUUAUUU